AACGCACCUUGCGCCCUUUGGUAUUCCGAAGGGCAUGCCUGUUUGAGUGUCAUUAAAUUCUCAACCUUGAAAGGCUUGUCUUUUCAAUGGCUUGGAUGUGGGGGUUUUUGCUGGCUUCCUUCAGUGGAUGGUCUGCUCCCCUUAAAUGCAUUAGUGGGAUCUCUUGUGGACCGUCACUUGGUGCGAUAAUUAUCUAUGCCAGUUGACUUUGAAGCAAAACUUAUGGGAACCCGCUCAUAACCGUCUUCGGACAACUUAUUGACAUUUUGACCUCAAAUCAGGUAGGACUACCCGCUGAACUUAA
RNAcentral lists this unclassified non-coding RNA (304 nucleotides) under uncultured fungus. Its description in RNAcentral is "partial contains 5.8S ribosomal RNA, internal transcribed spacer 2, and large subunit ribosomal RNA". The stretch from base 1 to 52 matches the Rfam family "5.8S ribosomal RNA", at positions 103 to 154 of the family's 154-position model. Lineage: Eukaryota; Fungi. The record is from RNAcentral.